ACCAUUCAUCAAACAAUUUACUGAAGAUGGUUUCCUUUUUCCUGUUUAUGUAAAUCUGUCGCUGGUUAUUCUAUUUAUUUUUCCAAGAGCGGAAUGGUAUAUACUCUGUACAUGAAUAGCAAGACAGUGGCAGUACUUUUCUGAUAUGGCUAUAUGUAUGUAUGUACUAACACUGAAGUGAAUCUGAUAUAUAAGCCGAAUCAGCCCAUGGGAAGCUUACUCAAAACAUUUAUAUCGUGACUGUUGUGUUUUGAACCUUUGGAGGUUCUUGUUUGACGUAAUAUCUGGCAUCAUAUGGCUUUCUUUCAUGUAUCUCUAUGAUUUCUAGGUUUUUUUGGGCAAUCCUCAUCAAUUAAGACGAAUUGUCACACUCCACGAAGGAAAGUCAUACUCUGUCACGACCUCGAUCUCGAUCUAAGCUAGGGUUUGUCUCAGAUCAGAGAGGAGAGGGGAAAGUGUGAGGUAUAUGCUGAGUAUAUUCGCUGGAAGAGGUAUUAUUUCUGUUUGGAGCAAAGCUCUGACAAUACAACAUAACUCUCACAGGCUAGUCGGGUGCUUAUAUAGCAUCAGCGGCACACGGUGGAAAUAAAAGAGUACAAUAAUAGCCGCAGGAUAUUCUUGGAUGCUUCUAUCUCGGCCAUUCGUUAACUGAAGAAGAAGAAUACUUCGUCAGGCCUGACACUGUUUUCUGCGCCCCCUGACUUUGCUCUAGUAGGGCUUGAACUACGAGUCUGUCUAUCUUGAUAAACGUUGUACUUCUUUAACUGAAGAGUUGUAGGUUUUCUCAUUAUUGUUUUCCCAAAGAAUAUGUUGCUCUCGUAAUGGAUUCGUAGUGUAGUUUGAUUUUCUUCAUUGGAAAGUGUUUCAUUCCUUUUUUCAUAGGCAAUCAAACCUUCUUUCGUAUUAAUAACAACCCCAAAUGUUCUCAGGAAUGGUCUUCCUAGUAUAAGGGGACAUGAAAGAUCGCACUCAAUAUCCAUUAUUGAAAGUCAUGGGAAUAUAAUUUUGAUUUGCUAUAAUAGGGACAUUAUCUACUCUUCCCAAUGGC
This 1048-nucleotide long non-coding RNA is filed under the name Hordeum vulgare. RNAcentral describes it as "long non-coding RNA (HVUL_LNC005381)". Lineage: Eukaryota; Viridiplantae; Streptophyta; Magnoliopsida; Poales; Poaceae. The record is from RNAcentral.